UUAACACAUGCAAGCCGAGCGGAGAUGAGGUGCUUGCACCUUAUCUUAGCGGCGGACGGGUGAGUAAUGCUUAGGAAUCUGCCAUUUAGUGGGGGACAACAUUCCGAAAGGGAUGCUAAUACCGCAUACGUCCUACGGGAGAAAGCAGGGGAUCUUCGGACCUUGCGCUAAAUGAUGAGCCUAAGUCGGAUUAGCUAGUUGGUGAGGUAAAGGCCUACCAAGGCGACGAUCUGUAGCGGGUCUGAGAGGAUGAUCCGCCACACUGGGACUGAGACACGGCCCAGACUCCUACGGGAGGCAGCAGUGGGGAAUAUUGGACAAUGGGCGGAAGCCUGAUCCAGCCAUGCCGCGUGUGUGAAGAAGGCCUUUUGGUUGUAAAGCACUUUAAGCGAGGAGGAGGCUACCUAGAUUAAUACUCUGGGAUAGUGGACGUUACUCGCAGAAUAAGCACCGGCUAACUCUGUGCCAGCAGCCGCGGUAAUACAGAGGGUGCGAGCGUUAAUCGGAUUUACUGGGCGUAAAGCGUGCGUAGGCGGCUGAUUAAGUCGGAUGUGAAAUCCCUGAGCUUAACUUAGGAAUUGCAUUCGAUACUGGUCGGCUAGAGUAUGGGAGAGGAUGGUAGAAUUCCAGGCGUAGCGGUGAAAUGCGUAGAGAUCUGGAGGAAUACCGGUGGCGAAGGCAGCCAUCUGGCCUAAUACUGACGCUGAGGUACGAAAGCAUGGGGAGCAAACAGGAUUAGAUACCCUGGUAGUCCAUG
RNAcentral lists this ribosomal RNA (757 nucleotides) under uncultured bacterium. RNAcentral's name for it is "bacterial SSU rRNA". It matches the Rfam family "Bacterial small subunit ribosomal RNA", at positions 48 to 799 of the family's 1533-position model. The record is from RNAcentral.